RNAcentral lists this ribosomal RNA (593 nucleotides) under uncultured fungus. RNAcentral's name for it is "partial large subunit ribosomal RNA". It matches the Rfam family "Eukaryotic large subunit ribosomal RNA", at positions 44 to 650 of the family's 3401-position model. Lineage: Eukaryota; Fungi. The record is from RNAcentral.
CAAUAAGCGGAGGAAAAGAAACCAACAGGGAUUACCUCAGUAACGGCGAGUGAAGCGGUAAUAGCUCAAAUUUGAAAUCUGGCUCUUUCAGGGUCCGAGUUGUAAUUUGUAGAGGAUGUUUCGGGCACGGUUACGGUUUAAAUUUCUUGGAACAGAAUGUCAUAGAGGGUGAGAGUCCCGUCUUGAACCGAUUACUUCGUCCAUGUGAAACUCCUUCGACGAGUCGAGUUGUUUGGGAAUGCAGCUCAAAAUGGGUGGUAAAUUUCAUCUAAAGCUAAAUAUUGGCCAGAGACCGAUAGCGCACAAGUAGAGUGAUCGAAAGAUGAAAAGCACUUUGAAAAGAGAGUUAAACAGUAUGUGAAAUUGUUGAAAGGGAAGCGCUUGUAAUCAGACUUGAGCUUAACAGUUCCCCCUUCGUUCUCGUUGGGUUAUUCUGUUUUGUCCAGGCCAACAUCAGUUCGAGUGGUUGGUUAAAGACUUUGGGAAUGUAUCUACCCUUCGGGGUCGACUUAUAGCCUGGAGUGUCAUGCAGCCUACUUGGACUGAGGAACGCGCUUCGGCUCGGAUGUUGGCGUAAUGGUUAUAAGCGACCC